CAGUAGCCACGGUAAUACGAGGGGGGCAAGCGUUGUUCGGAAUUAUUGGGCGUAAAGGGUGCGUAGGCGGUUUGGCAAGUCUUAUGUGAAAUCUUCGGGCUCAACCCGAAGUCUGCAUGAGAAACUGCCGGGCUUGAGUAUGGGAGAGGUGAGUGGAAUUUCCGGUGUAGCGGUGAAAUGCGUAGAUAUCGGAAGGAACACCUGUGGCGAAAGCGGCUCACUGGACCAUAACUGACGCUGAGGCACGAAAGCUAGGGGAGCAAACAGGAUUAGAUACCCGGGUAGUCCCUGUCUCUUAUAA
This 301-nucleotide ribosomal RNA is filed under the name uncultured bacterium. Its description in RNAcentral is "partial 16S ribosomal RNA". It matches the Rfam family "Bacterial small subunit ribosomal RNA", at positions 509 to 809 of the family's 1533-position model. The record is from RNAcentral.